RNAcentral lists this ribosomal RNA (1193 nucleotides) under metagenome. RNAcentral's name for it is "bacterial LSU rRNA". It matches the Rfam family "Bacterial large subunit ribosomal RNA", at positions 1597 to 2810 of the family's 2925-position model. The record is from RNAcentral.
GAUGGAAGAUGGCGAGAAAAGCUGUGUGUAUUUCUGAGGUGCCCGUACCGCAAACCGACACAGGUAGGUAGGAAGAAGAUUCUAAGGCCAACGGGAGAAGGGUUGUUAAGGAACUCGGCAAAUUGACCCCGUAACUUCGGGAGAAGGGGUGCUCCAGAGAUGGAGCCGCAGAGAAUCGGCCCAAGCAACUGUUUACCAAAAACACAGGUUUGUGCUAAAUCGAAAGAUGACGUAUACGAGCUGACGCCUGCCCGGUGCUGGAAGGUUAAGAGGAGAUGUGCAAGCAUUGAAUCGAAGCCCCAGUGAACGGCGGCCGUAACUAUAACGGUCCUAAGGUAGCGAAAUUCCUUGUCAGGUAAGUUCUGACCCGCAUGAAAGGCGUAAUGAUUUGGGCACUGUCUCAACAGCCCGCCCGGCGAAAUUGUAGUACCGGUGAAGAUGCCGGUUACCCGCGACAAGACGGAAAGACCCCAUGGAGCUUUACUGUAGCCUAAUAUUGGGUUUCGAUGUUGCAUGCACAGGAUAGAUGGGACACUGGGAAACAAUCGCUUUGGCGGUUGCGGAGUGGCCGUUGGGAUACCAUCCUUGCGAUAUUGGAAUUCUAACCUGCGGCUCUGAAUCGAGUCGGGGGACAUUGUUAGGUGGGCAGUUUGACUGGGGCGGUCGCCUCCUAAAAAGUAACGGAGGCGUUCAAAGGUUCGCUCAGCUUGAACGGAAAUCAAGCAAAAGAGUGCAAACGCAGAAGCGAGCCUAACUGCGAGACUGACGGGUCGAGCAGUAACGAAAGUUGGAGUUAGUGAUCCGGUGGUAUGUGAGUGGAAAUGCCAUCGCUCAACGGAUAAAAGUUACCCUGGGGAUAACAGGCUGAUCUCCCCCAAGAGUCCACAUCGACGGGGAGGUUUGGCACCUCGAUGUCGGCUCAUCGCAUCCUGGGGCUGUAUUCGGUCCCAAGGGUUUGGCUGUUCGCCAAUUAAAGCGGUACGCGAGCUGGGUUCAGAACGUCGUGAGACAGUUCGGUCCCUAUCUGUCGUGGGCGCAGGAUAUUUGAUGGGAGCUGUCCCUAGUACGAGAGGACCGGGACGGACGUACCUCUGGCGCACCAGUUGUUCCGCCAGGAGCAUAGCUGGGCAACUACGUACGGAUCGGAUAAACGCUGAAAGCAUCUAAGCGUGAAGCCGACCCAAAGAUAAGAU